UCCACCGCACCUCUUCGUUCUCUUUUUAGCCCCACGAUCUCCACUCUCCAGGCUUCAGCCGCUGUCAGGAGCGAGAGGGAAGCGAUGGAGGGAGAGGAGGAAGCGAAGAAGACGAAGGAGGAGGUGGAGGCGGAGAUAUCGCGGGCGAUGCGCGCUCGCGUGAGGGAUUUCAAGGAGCAGGCCGACUCCUUGACUCUUGAAGGUGUUAGACGAGCACUGGAGAAGGAUUUAAGGAUGAAGACAUUAUCACUGGAUGUCCAUAAGAGGUUUAUAAAACAAUGUUUGGAAGAGCACUUUUAUGGUGCUGAUGAUGAGGAUGCAUCCAAAAGCUCGGGGAAAGUCAGAACAGAACUUGCUCAAACAGUGAAAGAAGAGAAGUCAGGUCAACCUGAAGAUCUUCAGUCAACAAUAGAACAAAAAAAUAACAGUUCCAGCCCUGCUGAAGAAACAGAAGGAUCUGCUUUGUUUGGAAAGAAAUCAACUGAUCGUGAGACUGAAAAUAGCCAACGUGACAGUGAUUUAAAUGAAGACACAAUCAAGGAGGCAAUAAAAAAGAAGGCUUCCUAUUUUAGAGCUAAUUCUGAGCAUAUUACUUUACAACAAGUUCGUCGAUUGCUGGAGGAAGAUCUUAAACUUGCAAAGAAAACUUUGGAUGCUUACAAAAGUUUUAUCAGCAAAGAACUAGAUAUGGUCCUGCAAUCACCUGAAAUUCUUAAACCUGCAAAUGGGGUUAAGAAGAAACCUAAGAAAGCUUCUCCAAAUGUGGAUGAGAGAAAGCUGAGCAAAGUCUCUAAAAAAGCCCACAGGAAAUCAGAUUCGUCAGAUGGCAACAAUAUCCUCAGCGAGGAUUAUGAAGUUGAUGAAGAAAUAAGACCAAAAAAGAGGACAGUUGAAAAAAUUAAAGCUACCUCAAAAAAUCCGAAAAGGCAGAAAAAAUCUACGGAAGAUAAUAAAUCACCCAGUUCUAAGGAGAGAAAGCCUGUGGAAGCAGACUUAGACAAGAGUUCUGAAGAUGAGGGUGCAAACAGCUCUGAGGAUGGCGAUUCUCAUUCAUCUGCUGAAGAGGAAGUCAAGAAGAAACAAGAGAAGCCAGCUCAAGUGUAUGGAAAACGAGUAGAGCACCUCAAAUCAAUAAUCAAAUCCUGCGGGAUGAGCAUUCCUCCAACAGUUUAUAGGAGGGCCAAACAGGCUCCUGAAAGCAAACGUGAAGCCUUCUUAAUAAAAGAGCUGGAGGAGAUUCUUUCAAAGGAAGGGCUAUCAACUAAUCCUUCCGAAAAAGACAUUAAAGCAGUUAGAAAAGAAAAGAAAGAGCAAAAGAGCUUGAAGGCAUCGACUUGAGCAACAUAAUGUCAAGUUCUCGUCGAAGAAGUACAUCCAGUUACAUACCUCGACCAAGCCUAAAAUAGAAGUCGAAAGUGAUGAAGAUGAAGAAAAUGAGGAAGGUGAGGAAGAUGAGGAUGAUGAGGAAAAUGAGGAAGAUUCAGAUGAUGGUGAUAAUGUUGGAGGCGAUUCAGGCGAAGGAUCUGAUGAAGAUGCUGAAGAUGAAAGUGAUUGAAGUGCUGCAACCUUGUCAUAUUCUUCACAUGCUAUUGCUCUAGUGAAGGACUGUAUUGGAAACCAUAGAUCCCAUCUGUUUCAUCCUUUAGCUAUGUAAAUGUAUAUUUCUAGGGGGAAUUGUGGUGUUGAUUUAUUAGAGCUGAUAUUUUAUCUAUGAUCAAUGAGUUGAUUAGGUAAGCGACAAUUCUUCAACUGAACUCGUGUCUGGUCAGCGUAGUCUACAUUACAAUUUUGUGUGGUUUAAGAGAUUUUGGCUUUAAGGUUAUUAGGAUUCGUCAACAGAAAA
Phoenix dactylifera (date palm) is the source of this 1843-nucleotide non-coding RNA. NCBI's taxonomy places the organism in Eukaryota, Viridiplantae, Streptophyta, Magnoliopsida, Arecales, Arecaceae. The record is from RefSeq and is a predicted model, not a curated record.